UACGGGGGGUGCAAGCGUUGUUCGGAAUUACUGGGCGUAAAGGGCUCGUAGGUGGCCAACUAAGUCAGACGUGAAAUCCCUCGGCUUAACCGGGGAACUGCGUCUGAUACUGGAUGGCUAGAGUUUGGGAGAGGGAUGCGGAAUUCCAGGUGUAGCGGUGAAAUGCGUAGAUAUCUGGAGGAACACCGGUGGCGAAGGCGGCAUCCUGGACAAACACUGACGCUGAGGAGCGAAAGCCUGGGGAGCAAACGGG
This 253-nucleotide ribosomal RNA is filed under the name uncultured bacterium. Its description in RNAcentral is "partial 16S ribosomal RNA". It matches the Rfam family "Bacterial small subunit ribosomal RNA", at positions 524 to 776 of the family's 1533-position model. The record is from RNAcentral.